AUUGAACGCUAACGGCAUGCUUAACACAUGCAAGUCGAACGGCAGCACGGUCGUAGCAAUACGAUGGGUGGCGAGUGGCGGACGGGUGAGUAAUAUAUAGGAAUCUGCCUUGUAGUGGGGGAUAACCCGGGGAAACUCGGGCUAAUACCGCAUAAUCUUUACGAAGCAAAGUGGGGGAUCGUCAGACCUUACGCUAUAAGAUGAGCCUAUAUUGGAUUAGCUAGUUGGUGGGGUAAAGGCCUACCAAGGCAACGAUCCAUAGCUGGUCUGAGAGGAUGAGCAGCCACACUGGGAUGGAGACACGGCCCAGACACCCACAGGAGACAGCAGUGGGGAAUAUUGGACAAGGGGCGAAAGCCGGAUCCAGCAAUGCCGUGUGUGUGAAGAAGGCCUUAGGGUUGUCAAGCACUUUUAGUGGAGAAGAAAGGCUCAUGGGUAAUAUCCAUGAGUGCUGACGUUAUCCACAGAAAAAGCACUGGCUAACUCUGUGCCAGCCGCCGCGGUAA
RNAcentral lists this ribosomal RNA (506 nucleotides) under uncultured bacterium. Its description in RNAcentral is "partial 16S ribosomal RNA". It matches the Rfam family "Bacterial small subunit ribosomal RNA", at positions 30 to 523 of the family's 1533-position model. The record is from RNAcentral.